GGGUGGAAAGUGGCGAGCGACUCUCUGGUCUGUAACUGACGCUGAGGAGCGAAAGCGUGGGGAGCGAACAGGAUUAGAUACCCUGGUAGUCCACGCCGUAAACGAUGAGUGCUAAGUGUUAGGGGGUUUCCGCCCCUUAGUGCUGCAGCUAACGCAUUAAGCACUCCGCCUGGGGAGUACGGUCGCAAGACUGAAACUCAAAGGAAUUGACGGGGGCCCGCACAAGCGGUGGAGCAUGUGGUUUAAUUCGAAGCAACGCGAAGAACCUUACCAGGUCUUGACAUCCUCUGACAAUCCUAGAGAUAGGACGUCCCCUUCGGGGGCAGAGUGACAGGUGGUGCAUGGUUGUCGUCAGCUCGUGUCGUGAGAUGUUGGGUUAAGUCCCGCAACGAGCGCAACCCUUGAUCUUAGUUGCCAGCAUUCAGUUGGGCACUCUAAGGUGACUGCCGGUGACAAACCGGAGGAAGGUGGGGAUGACGUCAAAUCAUCAUGCCCCUUAUGACCUGGGCUACACACGUGCUACAAUGGACAGAACAAAGGGCAGCGAAACCGCGAGGUUAAGCCAAUCCCACAAAUCUGUUCUCAGUUCGGAUCGCAGUCUGCAACUCGACUGCGUGAAGCUGGAAUCGCUAGUAAUCGCGGAUCAGCUGCCCGGGGGUGAAUACGUUUCCCGGGCCUUGUACACACCGCCCGUCACACCACGAGAGUUUGUAACACCCGAAGUCGGUGAGGUAACCUUUUAGGAGCCAGCCGCCGAAGGUGGGACAGAUGAUUGGGGUGACUAAAAAGGGAAAAUG
This 797-nucleotide ribosomal RNA is filed under the name Bacillus subtilis. RNAcentral describes it as "bacterial SSU rRNA". It matches the Rfam family "Bacterial small subunit ribosomal RNA", at positions 703 to 1502 of the family's 1533-position model. The record is from RNAcentral. Lineage: Bacteria; Bacillati; Bacillota; Bacilli; Caryophanales; Bacillaceae.